This 245-nucleotide ribosomal RNA is filed under the name uncultured bacterium. RNAcentral describes it as "partial 16S ribosomal RNA". It matches the Rfam family "Bacterial small subunit ribosomal RNA", at positions 524 to 768 of the family's 1533-position model. The record is from RNAcentral.
UACGGAGGUGGCAAGCGUUGUUCGGAAUUACUGGGCGUAAAGGGCGCGUAGGCGGUUAGACAAGUCAGAUGUGAAAGCCCCGGGCUUAACUCGGGAACUGCAUCUGAAACUGUAUAGCUUGAGUUCUGGAGGGGGCAGUGGAAUUCCCAGUGUAGCGGUGAAAUGCGUAGAUAUUGGGAGGAACACCUGCGGCGAAGGCGGCUACCUGGACAGAAACUGACGCUGAGGCGCGAAAGCUAGGGGAG